CCCCCCACAAACCUGCUUCUCCUCCUUCUUCUUUUCAAAGUAAAGGACCUCACCUUUCCUCAGGUGCUCAGACAAAAGCCUUGGGGUUGUCCUUCAUUCCCCACUUUAUCUCACAGCCCCAUCCAAUCCGUCUGCAAAUCCUAUCAGUUCUAGAAUCCAGGCACUUCUUCCCACCCUCCCCGCCACCCCCUGGUGUCUGAGCCACCAUCAUAUUCUGCCUGAUUUCCUGUUUUCACCCUGCAGUCUGUCCUCCCCACAGCAGCCUUUAAACCAUCGACCAUAUCCUCACCACAGCCUAAAAAGCCCCAUGAGAUCUGGCCACCAACCUGGCCCACUUCCCCCUCCGUCUCCACCCCUGGCACCCGGGUCUAGCCACUUUGACCAUUUUGCUCCUUCUGGGUCACGACCAACUCCUUCCGGUCUCAGAACACUUGUCUGCCUGGAGUGCUGUCCCCCAGAUCUUCCCGGACUGGUCCCAUUCUCAGUGCCUGGCCACCCAUUGCUUGGCACGUAGUAGCUGCUCACUAAACCAUCUACCGAACCCACAGGGAUGGGAUGGCAGGACAAGGGCCGAGAGUAGCAGGAGUGCCACGUCACCACCAGGUGGCGCUGCAGGCACGUCCCUGGGUGGUGACUUCGUGUCCAGCCUCCUGAUUCGUCCUCUCAGCAAAGCCUCCUAGGAGCUCUUGUGCCAGGCGGUGCCAUGGGGCACCAGCUGACUCAGCCCCGGCUCUGCCUGUCCUCCGGUGGCUAUUGGUGGACGUGGUCCAGGGCAUCCACAGAAGCCUGGAAGGAAGGGAGGGCUGGCUCCCACGGCCUGAACUUCUCUGGGGAGGGAGCAGAUGUGUAGGCGUGAGGGGGUGGGAGUGGGGAGAACUGGGGUUCAGCCAGAGCAAGGUGUCUGCGAUGAAGAGUUCUGGAGAGGCCUCGACGUCGAGUCCAUCCAUUGAGCCUGGGUUUGCAUCCCACCUCCUCUGGUCCUCUGCAUGCUUUUCACAAGCCUGGCUUGACUCUGCACCUCGGUUUCCUCAUCUGUCAACAGGGGAUAAAAAUAAGAGAAAACUGAGGUUCAAAGAAAUGAAGUGACUUGGCUGAGAUCACACAGCUGGCCAGGAGGUUUCUCCGCAGUUCUUUCUCCCAGACAAGCAAGCUAAGUCAGCCAUCUCCCAACUCCUGACGGCCCUGCCCAGACAGUCUGAAGAGGCCAUCCUUCUAGGCCCAGCUUCAAGGCCACUUCUUCCUGGAGGCCUUCCCGGAUGGAUGCCCCAUCAGAAGUGGCCUUUCCCUCAGCGCUGCCUCUUGUCUCUCUGGACUUCUGAGCCACUUGGGGGCAGAAGCCCCAUGUCCAAU
Molecule: long non-coding RNA, 1350 nt
Organism: Equus asinus (donkey)
Lineage: Eukaryota; Metazoa; Chordata; Mammalia; Perissodactyla; Equidae
Source: Ensembl